RNAcentral lists this unclassified non-coding RNA (263 nucleotides) under plant metagenome. Its description in RNAcentral is "partial contains small subunit ribosomal RNA, internal transcribed spacer 1, and 5.8S ribosomal RNA". The record is from RNAcentral.
UUUCCGUAGGUGAACCUGCGGAAGGAUCAUUAUUGUAUAACCGAGGUGCGAGGCCUUUCGCUGACCCCAAUGAACGUUCCCUCCCGAGUGCGCCCACAGACAUCCAUCUCACCCCGUUGUGCACCACCCUGUGGGUCCCUCUUUGGCUUGUUCGGUGGUGUGCUUUCUUUUGCUCGCAAUCUUUAUAUACACUGUAUAAUGUAUUUUUUGUUUUUGCGGUCACGAAAUCAAUACAACUUUCAACAACGGAUCUCUUGGCUCUC